UAAGGAAUAUUGGUCAAUGGACGCAAGUCUGAACCAGCCAUGCCGCGUGAAGGAUGAAGGUCCUCUGGAUUGUAAACUUCUUUUAUCUGGGACGAAAACGGGAUUUUUAUCUCAAUUGACGGUACCAGAGGAAUAAGCACCGGCUAACUCCGUGCCAGCAGCCGCGGUAAUACGGAGGGUGCGAGCGUUAUCCGGAUUUACUGGGUUUAACGGGUGCGUAGGUGGGCUUAUAAGUCAGUGGUGAAAUCUCCGAGCUUAACUUGGAAACUGCCGUUGAUACUAUAAGUCUUGAAUUAUCUGGAGGUAAGCGGAAUAUGUCAUGUAGCGGUGAAAUGCUUAGAUAUGACAUAGAACACCAAUUGCGAAGGCAGCUUACUACAUAUAAAUUGACGCUGAGGCACGAAAGCGUGGGGA
RNAcentral lists this ribosomal RNA (414 nucleotides) under uncultured bacterium. Its description in RNAcentral is "bacterial SSU rRNA". It matches the Rfam family "Bacterial small subunit ribosomal RNA", at positions 355 to 767 of the family's 1533-position model. The record is from RNAcentral.